ACAAUAUGCAAGAUAAUCUUCAUGGGUGUCGGACUGAGAGCGGGAAGCACAGCGAACUGGUGCAAGGAUUGGAGGGCAGUUUGGAAUACUACAAAGGCCAAAACUCAAACCUUGAGUAUUCUCUACAAAGUUGCCGGAGUCAAUCAUGGAAAUUGCUGUACGAUAACAUUUUGUG
Amblyraja radiata (thorny skate) is the source of this 175-nucleotide long non-coding RNA. RefSeq lists it as uncharacterized. Lineage: Eukaryota; Metazoa; Chordata; Chondrichthyes; Rajiformes; Rajidae. The transcript has 3 exons. The record is from RefSeq and is a predicted model, not a curated record.